UAUGUAAAACACGGCAAUAUACAAGUGU
This 28-nucleotide small RNA is filed under the name Bombyx mori (domestic silkworm). RNAcentral describes it as "ovarian small RNA-23983". Lineage: Eukaryota; Metazoa; Arthropoda; Insecta; Lepidoptera; Bombycidae. The record is from RNAcentral.